Molecule: ribosomal RNA, 263 nt
Filed under: uncultured bacterium
Lineage: Bacteria
Description: partial 16S ribosomal RNA
Rfam family: Bacterial small subunit ribosomal RNA
Source: RNAcentral
AACACACGCACAUCUAGCGGUAAUAGGGGUAGUAAUCCGUGAUGAAGAGCGGGGAAGGGGUGAGCAAUGGUUGGUAAUCUGCCUAAUGGAGUGGAAUAACUAGUCGAAAGAUUGGCUAAUACCGCAUACGCCCUUCGGGGGAAAGCGGGGGUCGCAAGACCUCGCGCCGAUGGAUGAGCCGAAGUCGGAUUAGCUAGUUGGUAGGGUAUUUUCCUACCAAGGCNAGAGACAAUAGCUGGUCUGAGAGGACGACCAGCCACACU